RNAcentral lists this long non-coding RNA (1070 nucleotides) under Chloebia gouldiae (Gouldian finch). Its description in RNAcentral is "Erythrura gouldiae (Gouldian finch) lncRNA (ENSEGOG00005011028.1)". The record is from RNAcentral. Lineage: Eukaryota; Metazoa; Chordata; Aves; Passeriformes; Passeridae.
GCUCGGCGCGGCUCGUCCCGCAGCCGGCGCUGCCCCGGGCUGGGGCGAUCUCGCAUUACUCCCUGCCCUCCCCCGCGCUCCCCCCUCCGGGCCAGCUGAGAAGUUGCAACUGGUAGAGAUAUUUGUCCUUGGGGUUUGGGUUUUUUAUUUUAUUUCCUUUUAUUCCUUAAUCACCGCAGCUCACAAAAACAUGACCUGAGGCUGCUCCUUUUCCAUCAGAUCUGAGCAGGGGCGCCUCAGCGCCAGACAACUAAGCACAACAAAUCCUGGCGAGCUGCAGUGAACGACAGCAAGAGGGAGGGGAGGCGGUGGUGCACGGGCAGCGCCGCCGGUGCCGGGUCUGCAGGGGCUCUCGGCCGCUGCUCGGGGCUCUGCGGGGCUCCGGUGUCGGGGCAAUGUACCAAAACCGGGGAGCAGCAGAUAGAGAAGGCGAAGGGGGGCUGGGCGCCAGCAACUCCUCGGGACGGAAGGGGCUCGGAGCGUCCCGGGAGCUCCCAAGCUGCGCGCCCCGCGGCUCUCCACACCCCUCCCAUGCCAUGCCACGCCACAGCCGGCCAGCCAGCCCCAGUGUCCCAGCCCCAGUGUCCCAGCCCCAGUGUCCCGGCCCCGGGCGAGGAACCGCGUAGGCAGCAGCAGCUCCGCACCAGCGGCCCCGGCCCCGCUGCGAGGGAGAGUGCGGUGCUGACAUUUCUGCCGCCACUUCAUUUCCAGGCCCUGAGAGAGUCCCCUAUAAAGGUCCCGGAGCGUGCGUGGGACGGUGAGACGUGGCAGCGCGGGCUGCAGCGGGGGCGCGCAGGCAUCUCCCCCCAGCCAAUUCCCUGAACUGAUACUUGCAAAAUGAAGAGGAAGAUAGGAGUGAGAAUGAAGAAUGCCUUGGAGAAAUCCAGUCAUAAAGUUUGAGGAGUAGAAGUAAUAGGAAAUAUUAAUAACUCUGGUCUCUUGCAUAAGUCAGAAUUCAGACUGAAAUGAUGUAAAGUUACAAACCUGAGACAUAAGGGCUAUUAAAUUUGAAUCAAGAUUCACAGAUUUUUAUAUUAAUGCAUAAUAAAAAUAUUUGCUUUUUCCCCUCA